This 603-nucleotide ribosomal RNA is filed under the name uncultured bacterium. RNAcentral describes it as "bacterial SSU rRNA". It matches the Rfam family "Bacterial small subunit ribosomal RNA", at positions 338 to 957 of the family's 1533-position model. The record is from RNAcentral.
CCUACGGGAGGCAGCAGUGGGGAAUCUUGCGCAAUGGGCGAAAGCCUGACGCAGCCAUGCCGCGUGAAUGAUGAAGGUCUUAGGAUUGUAAAAUUCUUUCACCGGGGACGAUAAUGACGGUACCCGGAGAAGAAGCCCCGGCUAACUUCGUGCCAGCAGCCGCGGUAAUACGAAGGGGGCUAGCGUUGCUCGGAAUUACUGGGCGUAAAGGGAGCGUAGGCGGAUAGUUUAGUCAGAGGUGAAAGCCCAGGGCUCAACCUUGGAAUUGCCUUUGAUACUGGCUAUCUUGAGUACGGAAGAGGUAUGUGGAACUCCGAGUGUAGAGGUGAAAUUCGUAGAUAUUCGGAAGAACACCAGUGGCGAAGGCGACAUACUGGUCCGUUACUGACGCUGAGGCUCGAAAGCGUGGGGAGCAAACAGGAUUAGAUACCCUGGUAGUCCACGCUGUAAACGAUGAGUGCUAGUUGUCGGCAUGCAUGCAUGUCGGUGACGCGAGCUACGCAUUAAGACACUCCGCCGUCGGGAGGUACGGUCGCGAGAAUUAAACUACAAGAAGUUAGUACGGACGUGAGACGUGCCGACGGACGACGACGAGGGAGGAGG